This 240-nucleotide unclassified non-coding RNA is filed under the name soil metagenome. RNAcentral describes it as "partial contains 5.8S ribosomal RNA, internal transcribed spacer 2, and large subunit ribosomal RNA". The record is from RNAcentral.
AACAAGGCGUACCUGCGGACCUGCGGAAGGAUCAUUAACCUUUCAAAAAACAGGGUGCGUCGCGGCCCCCCUCCGGGGGCGGUUUGGGGUCCUCCCCUUCACGCGCGCACGACUGCAUCCUUACUUUACGAGCACCUUCUGUUCUCCCUCGGCGGGGCAACCUGCCGUUGGAACCGAAUAAACCCUUUUUUGCAUCCAGCAUUACCCGUUCCGAAACAAACAAUCGUUACAACUUUCAAC